GAUGAACGCUGGCGGCGUGCCUAAUACAUGCAAGUCGAGCGAACGGACGAGAAGCUUUCUUCUCUGAUGUUAGCGGCGGACGGGUGAGUAACACGUGGAUAACCUACCUAUAAGACUGGGAUAACUUCGGGAAACCUGAGCUAAUACCGGAUAAUAUUUUGAACCGCAUGGUUCAUAAGUGAAAGCCGGUCUUGCUGUCACUUAUAGAUGGAUCCGCGCUGCAUUAGCUAGUUGGUAAGGUAACGGCUUACCAAGGCAACGAUGCAUAGCCGACCUGAGAGGGUGAUCGGCCACACUGGAACUGAGACACGGUCCAGACUCCUACGGGAGGCAGCAGUAGGGAAUCUUCCGCAAUGGGCGAAAGCCUGACGGAGCAACGCCGCGUGAGUGAUGAAGGUCUUCGGAUCGUAAAACUCUGUUAUUAGGGAAGAACAUAUGUGUAAGUAACUGUGCACAUCUUGACGUUACCUAAUCAGAAAGCCACGGCUAACUACGUG
Molecule: ribosomal RNA, 497 nt
Filed under: uncultured bacterium
Lineage: Bacteria
Description: partial 16S ribosomal RNA
Rfam family: Bacterial small subunit ribosomal RNA
Source: RNAcentral